This is a long non-coding RNA of Pongo pygmaeus (Bornean orangutan), 650 nucleotides long. RefSeq lists it as uncharacterized. The record is from RefSeq and is a predicted model, not a curated record. The transcript is spliced from 3 exons. Lineage: Eukaryota; Metazoa; Chordata; Mammalia; Primates; Hominidae.
GUGCCCCAGUGUGUAUAGAAGGCAGGACAUCAAGUCAAAGGAUAUUAUUCUCAAGUCUUAAGAUUUCAUGUUAUUAGCCUUGUUGGGUUUUGGACUUUGAAUCAAUUACUCUUUCGUUCCUUUCUAGUUCUCUCUUUUGGAAUGAGAAUGUCAAUCUUAUGCCUACCCCAACGUUGUAUUUUGGAAGGACAUGACUUGUUUGAUUUCAUAGGCUCACAGCUGGAGAGAAAUUUGCCUCAGGAUGAAUCAUGCAUUUGAGUCUCAACAAUUUCUGAUCUUGAUGACAUUUAGAUGAGACUCUGGACUUCAGGAUUUUGAGUUGGUGCUGAACAAGGCCCCAGUGUGUGUUCCUGUGUCCGUUUGUUCUCAUUAUUCAGCUCCCACUUAUAAGUGAGAACAUGCAGUGUUUGGUUUUCUGUUCCUGUGUUAGACUGCUGAGGAUAAUGGCUUCCAGUUCCAUCCAUGUGUCUGCAAAGGACAUGAUCUCUUUCCUUUCGAUGGCUGCAAUAAUAUCCGGCAUUUUCGAAGGACUUAAAGGCUUAAAUGAAGACCACGAGGAAUGAUGAUAUGAUAUGCUGAGGAAACUGAUGAGAUUCAGUUGGCUAUCAUGAAGUUUUGUACAGAAGUGUGGGGAGAAAAGUGCGAAUUAG